Molecule: ribosomal RNA, 444 nt
Filed under: uncultured bacterium
Lineage: Bacteria
Description: bacterial SSU rRNA
Rfam family: Bacterial small subunit ribosomal RNA
Source: RNAcentral
AUGAACGCUGGCGGCGUGCCUUAUGCAUGCAAGUCGAACGCUCUAAGAAUCCGCAAGGACUUUUAGGGAGUGGCGGACGGGUGAGUACAAGCAAGGAACGUACCCCUUAUUGUGGGAUAGCUCGUCGAAAGACGGGGUAAUACCGCAUGAGCCCGCAAGGGCAAAGCGCUUAACCGCGCGAUAAGGGAGCGGCCUUGUGGCUAUCAGCUUGUUGGUGGGGUAAAGGCCUACCAAGGCUACGACGGCUAGGGGGCGUGAGAGCGCGACCCCCCACAAUGGCACUGAGAUACGGGCCAUACACCUACGGGUGGCAGCAACAGGGAAUCGUUGGCAAUGGACGCAAGUCUGACCACGCGACGCCGCGUGAGGGAUGAAGGCUUUCGGGUCGUAAACCUCUUUUAUCUCGCCGUCGAGGCGAGGAGAAUAAGCACCUACUAACUACGU